Molecule: ribosomal RNA, 275 nt
Filed under: uncultured prokaryote
Description: partial 16S ribosomal RNA
Rfam family: Bacterial small subunit ribosomal RNA
Source: RNAcentral
UACGUAGGUGGCAAGCGUUAUCCGGAUUUACUGGGUGUAAAGGGCGUGUAGGCGGUUUUGCAAGUCAGAUGUGAAAUCUCCGGGCUUAACCCGGAAACUGCAUCUGAAACUGCAGAACUUGAGUACUGGAGAGGAUAGUGGAAUUCCUAGUGUAGCGGUAAAAUGCGUAGAUAUUAGGAGGAACACCAGUGGCGAAGGCGACUAUCUGGACAGUAACUGACGCUGAGGCGCGAAAGCGUGGGGAGCAAACAGGAUUAGAUACCCCCGUAGUCCCU